Molecule: unclassified non-coding RNA, 619 nt
Filed under: Hevea brasiliensis (rubber tree)
Lineage: Eukaryota; Viridiplantae; Streptophyta; Magnoliopsida; Malpighiales; Euphorbiaceae
Source: RNAcentral
AACUGUAACAAGCCUACGAAUAUAUCUUCUCCAUUUUCUCCAUUUCGAUUCUCAAAGCCGUUGCUUUGUCCUGUUGUACGGUUCCGCAGUUACAAUUGUACCUCAGCUACACUCGAGACCAAAACAAUCGAACCAUUGGUCAGUCCUAGAAAUCAUCCAUGGCCAGAAUGGGUUGCUUUCGUGGACCGUUUGAAAAGCAAAGGAUACAUUACAGAAAAAAGUACGAGCACGGGUGAAGACGGCGAUGGGAGUAUUUAUACGGAUAUGAAUUUGUUGAAAGAUGCAUGCCUUAACUUCUCUCGCGACCGUUCAGACAUUUUCAAAAAGUUGUCCACCCAAGAUAUGCAGAAAGUUGUGGAGAAGGGCUGUCCUAAUCUAUUCAGGAAGGUUGUUAACUCUGCGAAAAGGCUAAGGAUUCAUCUAAACCUCGACGAAGGAGAGGUAUGUGGUGCUUGCAAUUUCCGUGGAUCAUGUGAUAGGGCUUACUUGAUAUUAAAGGAGUCUGAGGGUGUCGCGCGUACAGUCGAUAUUGUGCGGGUCUUGCUUAUUUAUGCAUUUGAUUCUGCAGUUAUAUCUAGUGGAGCAAUGCCUCCUGGUAGUGAGCUUAUCGAGGUAUCUG